Molecule: ribosomal RNA, 468 nt
Filed under: uncultured bacterium
Lineage: Bacteria
Description: partial 16S ribosomal RNA
Rfam family: Bacterial small subunit ribosomal RNA
Source: RNAcentral
GACGAACGCUGGCGGCGUGCUUAACACAUGCAAGUCGAACGGAAAGGCCCGGCUCUUGUGGGGUGCUCGAGUGGCGAACGGGGGAGUAACACGUGAGUAACCUGCCCUUGACUUUGGGAUAACUUCAGGAAACAGGGGCUAAUACCGGAUAGGAGCUCUUGCUGCACGGGGGGGGAUGGAAAGAUACGGCGGUGGGGGCUGGACUCGCGGGUUAUCGGCUGGUUGGUGGGGUAGGGGCGUACAACGGCUUUGACGGGCAGCCGGCAUGGGAGGUUGGCCGGCGUCCUGGGUCCUGCGGUACGGCCCAGACUCCUACGGGCGGCAGCGGUGGGAAGUCUUGCGCAGUGGGCGGGCGCCUGAUGCAGCAGCGUCGCGUGCGGGAUGACGGCUUUCGGGUUGUAAACCGCUUUGGCCUGUGACGAGGCGGGAGUGACGGUAAUGGGUAAAGAAGCACCGGCUAACUACGUG